GGAGGAAAAGAAACCAACAGGGAUUGCCUUAGUAGCGGCGAGUGAAGCGGCAAAAGCUCAAAUUUGAAAUCUGGCACUUUCAGUGUCCGAGUUGUAAUUUGAAGAAGGUAUCUUUGGGUCUGGCUCUUGUCUAUGUUUCUUGGAACAGAACGUCACAGAGGGUGAGAAUCCCGUGCGAUGAGAUGUCCCAGACCUAUGUAAAGUUCCUUCGAAGAGUCGAGUUGUUUGGGAAUGCAGCUCUAAGUGGGUGGUAAAUUCCAUCUAAAGCUAAAUAUUGGCGAGAGACCGAUAGCGAACAAGUACAGUGAUGGAAAGAUGAAAAGAACUUUGAAAAGAGAGUGAAAAAGUACGUGAAAUUGUUGAAAGGGAAGGGCUUGAGAUCAGACUUGGUAUUUUGUAUGUUACUCUCUCGGGGGUGGCCUCUACAGUUUACCGGGCCAGCAUCAGUUUGGGCGGUAGGACAAUUGCAAAGAAAUGUGGCACUGCCUCGGUAGUGUGUUAUAGUCUUUGUCGAUACUGCCAGCCUAGACUGAGGACUGCGGCUUCGGCCUAGGAUGUUGGCAUAAUGAUCUUAAGUCGC
RNAcentral lists this ribosomal RNA (580 nucleotides) under Lodderomyces orthopsilosis. Its description in RNAcentral is "eukaryotic LSU rRNA". It matches the Rfam family "Eukaryotic large subunit ribosomal RNA", at positions 52 to 648 of the family's 3401-position model. The record is from RNAcentral. Lineage: Eukaryota; Fungi; Ascomycota; Pichiomycetes; Serinales; Debaryomycetaceae.